UUGGAUCGCCUGGAGUUGGCCCCGCUGCGGCAGCAGCUGGAGGAGCGCUGGAGGAGCAUCCUGAAGCAGCUCAAGGAGAAAACGCCGCGGGUGGAGGCUGACGAUGCUGCUGGGAUUCGGAAGUGGGUGCACUGGGGACAGCUGGGGGCAAUGCUCUCUCCAUUUGGAGAUGGAAUUUGUGCCUUUUCUGCCUGUUUUUUUUUUCCUGCACACAGUCCUAUGUGCCUCCUUGCUGCACCGAGGAGCCAGGGGCAGGGAUUUAACACAGGAUCAUGACACGAGGCCCUUACAUUUGCCACGCUUGCUGUCAGACAGACCCCACAGCACAGACAGGGUUUCCAUUACCCCUCUGCUGGUUUCCUUGGGAUUCAGGUGGCAGAACUUGGCCCAAGCUCCUAGAGACGGGAGAGAUGCAUGGAAUACAUGGACCCACGGGACUUGUGGCACCCCGAGUGCCCCCCUUUUGCAGCCACAUUCCCAGGCAGGACCCCACGAGUCCAUCCCUUCUGCAGCACCCGAUGCUGCCACCGACCCCUGAUCUCCCUGCAGGCAGCUGCUGGCCCAUUUCCACUGCGUGUCCUGCGACCGACCCCUGCACAUGCUGGUGCCUGGACCGCACAUUGUGACCAUUCCACCACUGCCACCGCUGCCUUCCCGCGUCGCCGUGCGUCCCCGUGCCACCUGCCAGCCGGAGCAAGGCCACAGGGAGCAGGGGGCCCAGUGUGGGUUCCUGCAGGUGCCGCGGCGCUGCGGGGGGCAGCACACCAUCACCCACCCACUGCAGCGCUGCCCACGACCCCCACACUUCCCACCCUACGGCCCCACACCGCCACAGCCCCAUGGCAGCAUCACCAAGGAGCACGGCGAGAUGGAGCUGCUGGGCCAGGAUGGGCACAUCUACAAAGGCCGGUGGGAAGCUCAGCUGCCUGCCCUCGCAGGGAAGGAGGGUACAGCUGGGGUGUGGGGUAAUCCUGCUGACCCUAAAGCUGCAAUGGAAGGACCCCAACCGCUCUCAUAUUCUCCCUCUCUGGUUUCUCCAGGCACACCGAGGGAUAAGCCCAGGCUGUCCCCCAGGCACUGGGGUGCUCAGGACACCAACUUCCUGCCCGUGCGGCCCCAAAGUGCCCUGUCCCCACUCAGCCAGCCAGGGACCCCCAGGCUGCAGGAGCAGCGCCCAAUGUCAUCCCACGGCCGCCUGCCCCACCUCUGGCCACCACAGGGCAGAGAAGAAAGCCCCACAGCAGAGAGAAGAGGGGGAACCCCCUCUGAAACCCACCCAUGGGCACCGGGUGGACCCAUGGGCUGCAGCCAGUAGCAAUAAAGAGCAGUGGAUGAGAUGCAUCUGCAUAGUCAGGGUAGAGAUGGAGUUGGUUUUGCCUUCAGCAUCCCUCUUCUGUUUGUAUGGACACCUCGUCCUUCACUACCUCCAUCCUUCCAUCCAUCCAUCCAUCCGUCCGUCCAUCCAUUUAUCCAUCCAUCCAUCCAUCCAUUUAUCCAUCCGUCCAUCCAUUUAUCCAUCCAUCCAUCCAUCCAUCCAUCCAUCCAUCCAUCCAUCCAUCCAUCCAUCCAUCCAUCCAUCCACCCACCCCCACUCCUCGCUGCCCAUGCAGGUUAUGGGGCUGGCCCUCACACCCCUCCAAUUAGCACCCCUAAUGCGGAUGCAGGGGGACACAGGGCUGGGAUUUUCCCAUCUUACACUCAGAGCAGCAUCAUACACACGCAGCAUCCCUUAUCCUGAGCCCCAAAGGUGUGAAUACCCACACAGGGCAUCCCCCACCCCACCUGCUCCCAGUGCAGGAGCUGGGACUCCAUGUCCCUGGGACUCCUUGUCCCUGCCUCGCCACGUUGGAACCUGAAAGUCCAUUUACUUAAAUCACAUUUUACAAGGCUCUGAUUUACUGCUGCAGUGGAUUGCAGCUGCUCUGUGCUGGUCCAACCUCCCGGGACGUGUUUGUUUGAGGUUUGUUUCCCAUGGGGGAAGGGGAGUGACACUAUGAAGGCAGGAUGGUGCUGGGAGGGUGGGGGGAGGCACCAACAAAUGGGUCUGAGGUUCCACAGUGCAAAAAGAGGGGAAACUCAGAGCAAAGCCCAUCAGCAGGUUAAAGCUCAGCUGGGACACAAUGCUGAGCUCAGCCCCCCCCACCUGUGGGUGCUCAGCCCCUCCCACCCCAUCAGAACCCACCCACACUGCUGGUCCCAUAAGCACCAGCACCCCUUCAACCCAGUGCUGCUGUGCUCAGAGCAGGUAAGCAGAUCUGGAUGGACUUUGCUUUUCCUUUGUGGAGCAUCCCUGUCCCUACCUGUGUGUCCCCAGACCCGCUGCAUCCCACGUUUGGGGGGGUUUCACCCCAUUUUCUCAUUGCAUGCUGAGCUGGGGGCUGAAUUGGAAAGGAAUCCCAAGGUUGGGGCUGUGGUUGGAAGGGCGCCGGUGUUCCCCCAGCAAAGAGAAGAGGCAGGGACAGCUGCUGUUAAAAAAGUGAUUAUUAUUAUUUUUUUUUUAAUUCUUUUUAAAUUAAUAAAAAACCUUUGAGCUGUUUUCUGUUGUUUUCU
Molecule: long non-coding RNA, 2550 nt
Organism: Chrysolophus pictus (golden pheasant)
Lineage: Eukaryota; Metazoa; Chordata; Aves; Galliformes; Phasianidae
Source: Ensembl